GAUGAACGCUGGCGGCGUGCUUAACACAUGCAAGUCGAACGAAGCACUUUAUUUGAUUUCCUUCGGGACUGAUUAUUUUGUGACUGAGUGGCGGACGGGUGAGUAACGCGUGGGUAACCUGCCUUGUACAGGGGGAUAACAGUUGGAAACGGCUGCUAAUACCGCAUAAGCGCCCAGCAUCGCAUGAUGCAGUGUGAAAAACUCCGGUGGUAUAAGAUGGACCCGCGUUGGAUUAGCUAGUUGGUGAGGUAACGGCCCACCAAGGCGACGAUCCAUAGCCGACCUGAGAGGGUGACCGGCCACAUUGGGACUGAGACACGGCCCAAACUCCUACGGGAAGCAGCAGUGGGGAAUAUUGCACAAUGGGCGAAAGCCUGAUGCAGCGACGCCGCGUGAGCGAAGAAGUAUUUCGGUAUGUAAAGCUCUAUCAGCAGGGAAGAUAAUGACGGUACCUGACUAAGAAGCACCGGCUAAAUACGUG
RNAcentral lists this ribosomal RNA (481 nucleotides) under uncultured bacterium. Its description in RNAcentral is "partial 16S ribosomal RNA". It matches the Rfam family "Bacterial small subunit ribosomal RNA", at positions 28 to 507 of the family's 1533-position model. The record is from RNAcentral.